This 437-nucleotide ribosomal RNA is filed under the name uncultured bacterium. RNAcentral describes it as "bacterial SSU rRNA". It matches the Rfam family "Bacterial small subunit ribosomal RNA", at positions 32 to 489 of the family's 1533-position model. The record is from RNAcentral.
AAUCAACGCUGGCGGCGUGCCUAACACAUGCAAGUCGCACGAGGAAAGGGGAGCAAUCCCUGAGUAAAGUGGCGUACGGGUGAGUAACACGUGACUAACCUUACCUUUUAGUGGGGAAUAACCUAGGGAAACCUGGGCUAAUACCGCAUAAUACCUACGAGUCAAAGCAGCAAUGCGCUGGAAGGAGGGGGUCGCGGCAGAUUAGUUAGUUGGCGGGGUAAUGGCCCACCAAGACAGUGAUCUGUAUCCGGCCUGAGAGGGCGCACGGACACACUGGAACUGAAACACGGUCCAGACUCCUACGGGAGGCAGCAGUGGGGAAUUUUGCGCAAGUGGGGGAAACCCUGACGCAGGCAACGCCGCGUGGGAGGGAUGAAGUCCCUUGGGACGUAAACUCCUUUUCGAUGGGGAAGAUAAUGACGGUACCCAUAGAAGAA